AGAGUUUGAUCUUGGCUCAGAAUCAACGCUGGCGGCGUGCCUCAGACAUGCAAGUCGAACGAUUAAACUUUCCUUCGGGAAAGAUAUAAAGUGGCGCACGGGUGAGUAACACGUAAGUAAUCUACCUUUGAGUGGGGAAUAACUCGGGGAAACUCGAGCUAAUACCGCAUAACGCAGCGGCACCGCAAGGUGACAGUUGUUAAAGGAGCAAUCCGCUUGAAGAGGAGCUUGCGGCAGAUUAGGUAGUUGGUAAGGUAAUGGCUUACCAAGCCUGCGAUCUGUAUCCGGUCUAAGAGGACGGUCGGACACACUGACACUGAAUAACGGGUCAGACUCCUACGGGAGGCAGCAGUCGGGAAUUUUGGGCAAUGGGGGAAACCCUGACCCAGCAACGCCGCGUGAAGGAUGAAGUAUUUCGGUAUGUAAACUUCGAAAGAAUAGGAAGAAUUAAUGACGGUACUAUUUAUAAGGUCCGGCUAACUACGUGCCAGCCGCCGCAGUAAC
Molecule: ribosomal RNA, 504 nt
Filed under: uncultured Acidobacteriota bacterium
Lineage: Bacteria; Pseudomonadati; Acidobacteriota
Description: bacterial SSU rRNA
Rfam family: Bacterial small subunit ribosomal RNA
Source: RNAcentral